RNAcentral lists this transfer RNA (84 nucleotides) under Candidatus Ancillula glyptotermitis. Its description in RNAcentral is "tRNA-Ser". It matches the Rfam family "tRNA". Rfam says of the family: Transfer RNA (tRNA) molecules are approximately 80 nucleotides in length. Their secondary structure includes four short double-helical elements and three loops (D, anti-codon, and T loops). Lineage: Bacteria; Bacillati; Actinomycetota; Actinomycetes; Bifidobacteriales; Bifidobacteriaceae. The record is from RNAcentral.
GGAGGAUUCGCCUAGUGGUCUAUGGCGCCGUCUUGGAAAGGCGGUUGGGUUUUGCCCUCACGAGUUCGAAUCUCGUAUCCUCCG